This is a long non-coding RNA of Heterocephalus glaber (naked mole-rat), 442 nucleotides long. The record is from Ensembl. NCBI's taxonomy places the organism in Eukaryota, Metazoa, Chordata, Mammalia, Rodentia, Bathyergidae.
GGAAGAAGCCGUACAAAACCACUGUAGAAAUACAGCUUUAGCAGAUUGGAUCUGUCUGUGUGCUCAGUACCAGGGAUUGAACUCAAGACCUUGCACUUGCCAGGCAGAGCCUCAGCAGCAGCAGCGGAAGAUCAAACAGCAGCUCACCAGCUGGACCAGGGGCCCAGGAGGGGCCUGUGGAUGCUCUCUGAUACCUGUGAGCCGCCACUUCCGCCUCCCCUUGCUGUCACCUGUGGCCCAAAAAUGCAAGCCAGAAGCUGUGGGACCCUCCUCCCUCCCAGACUCCACUGUUCCUCUUUGUUUUGUCUUUGCUGUUCCUCAAAGACCAGUUUGUUUGAUCUUUCCAUCUCCUCAUCGUUUGGGUCUAAAUUGAGAGACCCAGGUGAGGUCCGAGAGGGAACAGCAAUCAGAUCCGUCAGAGGGUGAAAGAUGAAAGUGCCAG